This 906-nucleotide ribosomal RNA is filed under the name Longididymella clematidis. RNAcentral's name for it is "partial large subunit ribosomal RNA". It matches the Rfam family "Eukaryotic large subunit ribosomal RNA", at positions 36 to 960 of the family's 3401-position model. The record is from RNAcentral. Lineage: Eukaryota; Fungi; Ascomycota; Dothideomycetes; Pleosporales; Didymellaceae.
AAGCAUAUCAAUAAGCGGAGGAAAAGAAACCAACAGGGAUUGCCCUAGUAACGGCGAGUGAAGCGGCAACAGCUCAAAUUUGAAAUCUGGCGUCUUUGGCGUCCGAGUUGUAAUUUGCAGAGGGCGCUUUGGCAUUGGCAGCGGUCCAAGUUCCUUGGAACAGGACGUCACAGAGGGUGAGAAUCCCGUACGUGGUCGCUAGCCUUUACCGUGUAAAGCCCCUUCGACGAGUCGAGUUGUUUGGGAAUGCAGCUCUAAAUGGGAGGUAAAUUUCUUCUAAAGCUAAAUACUGGCCAGAGACCGAUAGCGCACAAGUAGAGUGAUCGAAAGAUGAAAAGCACUUUGGAAAGAGAGUUAAAAAGCACGUGAAAUUGUUGAAAGGGAAGCGCUUGCAGCCAGACUUGCCUGUAGUUGCUCAUCCGGGUUUCUACCCGGUGCACUCUUCUAUAGGCAGGCCAGCAUCAGUUUGGGCGGUUGGAUAAAGGUCUCUGUCAUGUACCUCCUCUCGGGGAGAACUUAUAGGGGAGACGACAUGCAACCAGCCCGGACUGAGGUCCGCGCAUCUGCUAGGAUGCUGGCGUAAUGGCUGUAAGCGGCCCGUCUUGAAACACGGACCAAGGAGUCUAACAUCUAUGCGAGUGUUUGGGUGUCAAGCCCGAACGCGUAAUGAAAGUGAACGGAGGUGGGAACCUUUCGGGGUGCACCAUCGACCGAUCCUGAUGUCUUCGGAUGGAUUUGAGUAAGAGCAUAGCUGUUGGGACCCGAAAGAUGGUGAACUAUGCUUGAAUAGGGUGAAGCCAGAGGAAACUCUGGUGGAGGCUCGCAGCGGUUCUGACGUGCAAAUCGAUCGUCAAAUUUGGGCAUAGGGGCGAAAGACUAAUCGAACUAUCUAGUAGCUGGUUCCUG